RNAcentral lists this ribosomal RNA (499 nucleotides) under uncultured bacterium. RNAcentral's name for it is "partial 16S ribosomal RNA". It matches the Rfam family "Bacterial small subunit ribosomal RNA", at positions 899 to 1397 of the family's 1533-position model. The record is from RNAcentral.
ACUCAAAUGAAUAGACGGGGGCCCGCACAAGCGGUGGAGCAUGUGGUUUAAUUCGAUGCAACGCGAAGAACCUUACCUACCCUUGACAUCCAACGAAUCCUGCAGAGAUGCGGGAGUGCCGAAAGGAACGUUGAGACAGGUGCUGCAUGGCUGUCGUCAGCUCGUGUUGUGAGAUGUUGGGUUAAGUCCCGUAACGAGCGCAACCCUUAUCCUUAGUUGCCAACGCGUAAUGGCGGGGACUCUAAGGAGACUGCUGGUGAUGAACCGGAGGAAGGCGGGGACGACGUCAAGUCAUCAUGGCCUUUAUGGGUAGGGCUACACACGUGCUACAAUGGACAGUACAGAGGGAAGCCAACCCGCGAGGGGGAGCCAAUCCCGAAAAGCUGUUCGUAGUCCGGAUCGGAGUCUGCAACUCGACUCCGUGAAGUCGGAAUCGCUAGUAAUCGCGAAUCAGAAUGUCGCGGUGAAUACGUUCCCGGGCCUUGUACACACCGCCCGU